RNAcentral lists this ribosomal RNA (397 nucleotides) under uncultured bacterium. Its description in RNAcentral is "partial 16S ribosomal RNA". It matches the Rfam family "Bacterial small subunit ribosomal RNA", at positions 523 to 918 of the family's 1533-position model. The record is from RNAcentral.
AUACGUAGGGGGCGAGCGUUGUCCGGAAUUAUUGGGCGUAAAGGGCGCGUAGGCGGCCCGGUAAGUCUGGAGUGAAAGUCCUGUUUUUAAGAUGGGAAUUGCUUUGGAUACUGUCGGGCUUGAGUGCAGGAGAGGUAAGUGGAAUUCCCAGUGUAGCGGUGAAAUGCGUAGAGAUUGGGAGGAAGACCAGUGGCGAAGGCGACUUACUGGACUGUAACUGACGCUGAGGCGCGAAAGUGUGGGGAGCAAACAGGAUUAGAUACCCUGGUAGUCCACACUGUAAACGAUGAAUGCUAGGUGUAGUGGGUAUCGACCCCUUCUGUGCCGCAGUCAACACAAUAAGCAUUCCGCCUGGGGAGUACGGCCGCAAGGUUGAAACUCAAAGGAAUUGGCGGGG